ACUCCUACUGGAGGCAGCAGUGGGGAAUAUUGCACAAUGGGGGAAACCCUGAUGCAGCCAUGCCGCGUGUGUGAAGAAGGCCUUCGGGUUGUAAAGCACUUUCAGUAGGGAGGAAGGUAGUGUAGUUAACACCUGCGCACUAUUUGACGUUACCUACAGAAGAAGCACCGGCUAACUCCGUGCCAGCAGCCGCGGUAAUACGGAGGGUGCGAGCGUUAAUCGGAAUUACUGGGCGUAAAGCGCAUGCAGGCGGCCUGUU
RNAcentral lists this ribosomal RNA (259 nucleotides) under uncultured bacterium. Its description in RNAcentral is "partial 16S ribosomal RNA". It matches the Rfam family "Bacterial small subunit ribosomal RNA", at positions 335 to 584 of the family's 1533-position model. The record is from RNAcentral.